GCCCAUAUCAGGGGGAUAGCCCGGAGAAAUCCGGAUUAACACCGCAUGACACUGCUUUCCGGCAUCGGGAGGCGGUCAAAUAUUCAUAGGAUAUGGAUGGGCUCGCGUGACAUUAGCUAGUUGGUGGGGUAACGGCCCACCAAGGCGACGAUGUCUAGGGGCUCUGAGAGGAGAAUCCCCCACACUGGUACUGAGACACGGACCAGACUCCUACGGGAGGCAGCAGUAAGGAAUAUUGGUCAAUGGGGGCAACCCUGAACCAGCCAUGCCGCGUGCAGGACGACUGCCCUAUGGGUUGUAAACUGCUUUUGUUAGGGAAUAAACCCCGCUACGUGUAGCGGGCUGAAUGUACCUAAAGAAUAAGGAUCGGCUAACUCCGUGCCAGCAGCCGCGGUAAUACGGAGGAUCCGAGCGUUAUCCGGAUUUAUUGGGUUUAAAGGGUGCGUAGGCGGCACUUUAAGUCAGGGGUGAAAGACGGCAGCUCAACUGUCGCAGUGCCCUUGAUACUGAAGUGCUUGAAUGCGGUUGAAGACGGCGGAA
RNAcentral lists this ribosomal RNA (540 nucleotides) under Sphingobacterium mizutaii. RNAcentral's name for it is "bacterial SSU rRNA". It matches the Rfam family "Bacterial small subunit ribosomal RNA", at positions 128 to 666 of the family's 1533-position model. The record is from RNAcentral. Lineage: Bacteria; Pseudomonadati; Bacteroidota; Sphingobacteriia; Sphingobacteriales; Sphingobacteriaceae.